UUUUUAAACCCUAGCCUCUGAGACAGAUGAACAGAGAGGCGACGAUCUGGACGACAGAGGCGACAAACGGAGAGGGCUGAGCCGAUUUCCCAGCGAGACGACGGAGGCGAGGAGAGGCGGCGGUGAGGCGACUGGAGGCGGCGACAGACGAACAGAGAGAGGCGGCGAGAGGCUGAGCCGAUUCCCACACUUGUCUCUCCAACCCAAAUCCCAGAACAAUCACAUAGAGGCUCAUGAAGAGCAACCAAAAAAGACAAAGUUGUUUUUUAUUCAUGUGGUGGAGCACUGGGAUGCUGAGUUCUAUGCUAAGGUCAAUGAUUAUGUUUAUGUUAAUAUUGGUGGCAUGCUUUCCCACCACUGCUGCUUGGGAUGAAAGAUUGCAAGACAGGUCAUUAUCAAUAAUUUCAUGAUGUUAGAAAGACUGAAUUGGAAAAGGUGCAAGUGAAGGAAUUUGAGUGAAAGGAUUUCAAGAUUUAUUACUGUCCAAAAUUGUGACUUUGAAGGGAAUAGAUUUAUAAAUGUACAUUGGAAGUCUUUUUAUAGUAUGAGUCUACAUACAUAGAUUUAUAAAUGUACGUUGGAAGUCUUGUUUCACAUAAUUCUUAUUAUAUACAAAGCAUUUCGUACAAUUGAUUAUCAUA
This is a long non-coding RNA of Camellia sinensis, 641 nucleotides long. RefSeq lists it as uncharacterized. The record is from RefSeq and is a predicted model, not a curated record. Lineage: Eukaryota; Viridiplantae; Streptophyta; Magnoliopsida; Ericales; Theaceae.